UUUAAUUCAUAAACAAGAUGAUUGGGUGUUCACACUGUUGUGUGAGAUCUGCCUCCCUCUAAACCUUGUUAUGAUGUUGGCAAAGUACCUAUCUGAU
Molecule: small nucleolar RNA, 97 nt
Filed under: Marmota monax (woodchuck)
Lineage: Eukaryota; Metazoa; Chordata; Mammalia; Rodentia; Sciuridae
Rfam family: Small nucleolar RNA U13
Source: RNAcentral